This 522-nucleotide ribosomal RNA is filed under the name uncultured Pseudomonas sp. RNAcentral's name for it is "bacterial SSU rRNA". It matches the Rfam family "Bacterial small subunit ribosomal RNA", at positions 8 to 525 of the family's 1533-position model. Lineage: Bacteria; Pseudomonadati; Pseudomonadota; Gammaproteobacteria; Pseudomonadales; Pseudomonadaceae. The record is from RNAcentral.
AGAGUUUGAUCCUGGCUCAGAUUGAACGCUGGCGGCAGGCCUAACACAUGCAAGUCGAGCGGAUGAAGGGGGCUUGCUCCUGGAUUCAGCGGCGGACGGGUGAGUAAUGCCUAGGAAUCUGCCUGGUAGUGGGGGAUAACGUCCGGAAACGGGCGCUAAUACCGCAUACGUCCUGAGGGAGAAAGUGGGGGAUCUUCGGACCUCACGCUAUCAGAUGAGCCUAGGUCGGAUUAGCUAGUUGGUGGGGUAAGGGCCUACCAAGGCGACGAUCCGUAACUGGUCUGAGAGGAUGAUCAGUCACACUGGAACUGAGACACGGUCCAGACUCCUACGGGAGGCAGCAGUGGGGAAUAUUGGACAAUGGGCGAAAGCCUGAUCCAGCCAUGCCGCGUGUGUGAAGAAGGUCUUCGGAUUGUAAAGCACUUUAAGUUGGGAGGAAGGGCAGUAAGUUAAUACCUUGCUGUUUUGACGUUACCAACAGAAUAAGCACCGGCUAACUUCGUGCCAGCAGCCGCGGUAAUA